RNAcentral lists this ribosomal RNA (465 nucleotides) under Vreelandella stevensii. RNAcentral's name for it is "partial 16S ribosomal RNA". It matches the Rfam family "Bacterial small subunit ribosomal RNA", at positions 338 to 795 of the family's 1533-position model. Lineage: Bacteria; Pseudomonadati; Pseudomonadota; Gammaproteobacteria; Oceanospirillales; Halomonadaceae. The record is from RNAcentral.
CCUACGGGUGGCAGCAGUGGGGAAUAUUGGACAAUGGGCGAAAGCCUGAUCCAGCCAUGCCGCGUGUGUGAAGAAGGCCUUCGGGUUGUAAAGCACUUUCAGUGGGGAAGAAAGCCUUGGGGCUAAUACCCUCGAGGAAGGACAUCACCCACAGAAGAAGCACCGGCUAACUCCGUGCCAGCAGCCGCGGUAAUACGGAGGGUGCGAGCGUUAAUCGGAAUUACUGGGCGUAAAGCGCGCGUAGGCGGUCUGAUAAGCCGGUUGUGAAAGCCCCGGGCUCAACCUGGGAACGGCAUCCGGAACUGUCAGGCUAGAGGGCAGGAGAGGAAGGUAGAAUUCCCGGUGUAGCAGUGAAAUGCGUAGAGAUCGGGAGGAAUACCAGUGGCGAAGGCGGCCUUCUGGACUGACACUGACGCUGAGGUGCGAAAGCGUGGGUAGCAAACAGGAUUAGAUACCCCGGUAGUC